Long non-coding RNA from Lactuca sativa (garden lettuce), 336 nucleotides. RefSeq lists it as uncharacterized. Lineage: Eukaryota; Viridiplantae; Streptophyta; Magnoliopsida; Asterales; Asteraceae. The record is from RefSeq and is a predicted model, not a curated record.
GAGAAGAUGAACCACAAAUUGACACUGAAAUGAUCAAUGGAAUUAUCAAAUCCCUUCAGGCUAUCCCUGAUGCAGUUCUCAACACAACAAUUAUGAUUUUAUGAUGUUAGGCUAAACUAUAAAGCAAUCAUUCUUUGUGUUAGGAAACGUUUCAGAGCUUCUUCAAGCAGCUUAAUGAUGAGUUACUGAAACAAGAAGGUGCCCCUUUAUAGCAAUGUAGUAUUAGGUUAUAUAGUUAGGGAAAACCUCUUAAUAACAACGUACAAUUAGAUCCCCUUAAUAUCAAUGUAUUACAAUUUUAUGACAUUAUGUUAUUGAAUGAAAUUGAUUGUGCAA